RNAcentral lists this ribosomal RNA (230 nucleotides) under uncultured microorganism. Its description in RNAcentral is "partial 16S ribosomal RNA". It matches the Rfam family "Bacterial small subunit ribosomal RNA", at positions 524 to 753 of the family's 1533-position model. The record is from RNAcentral.
UACGGAGGAUGCGAGCGUUAUCCGGAUUUAUUGGGUUUAAAGGGUGCGUAGGCGGGCUUUUAAGUCAGCUGUGAAAGUUUGCGGCUCAACCGUAAAAUUGCAGUUGAUACUGGGAGUCUUGAGUAUAGCAGAGGUUAGCGGAAUUCGUGGUGUAGCGGUGAAAUGCUUAGAUAUCACGAAGAACUCCGAUUGCGAAGGCAGCUGACCAGACUAUAACUGACGCUGAUGCA